RNAcentral lists this ribosomal RNA (465 nucleotides) under Vreelandella stevensii. Its description in RNAcentral is "partial 16S ribosomal RNA". It matches the Rfam family "Bacterial small subunit ribosomal RNA", at positions 338 to 795 of the family's 1533-position model. The record is from RNAcentral. Lineage: Bacteria; Pseudomonadati; Pseudomonadota; Gammaproteobacteria; Oceanospirillales; Halomonadaceae.
CCUACGGGUGGCUGCAGUGGGGAAUAUUGGACAAUGGGCGAAAGCCUGAUCCAGCCAUGCCGCGUGUGUGAAGAAGGCCUUCGGGUUGUAAAGCACUUUCAGUGGGGAAGAAAGCCUUGGGGCUAAUACCCUCGAGGAAGGACAUCACCCACAGAAGAAGCACCGGCUAACUCCGUGCCAGCAGCCGCGGUAAUACGGAGGGUGCGAGCGUUAAUCGGAAUUACUGGGCGUAAAGCGCGCGUAGGCGGUCUGAUAAGCCGGUUGUGAAAGCCCCGGGCUCAACCUGGGAACGGCAUCCGGAACUGUCAGGCUAGAGUGCAGGAGAGGAAGGUAGAAUUCCCGGAGUAGCGGUGAAAUGCGUAGAGAUCGGGAGGAAUACCAGUGGCGAAGGCGGCCUUCUGGACUGACACUGACGCUGAGGUGCGAAAGCGUGGGUAGCAAACAGGAUUAGAUACCCGAGUAGUC